Molecule: long non-coding RNA, 236 nt
Filed under: Elaeis guineensis (African oil palm)
Lineage: Eukaryota; Viridiplantae; Streptophyta; Magnoliopsida; Arecales; Arecaceae
Description: long non-coding RNA (EGUI_LNC017352)
Source: RNAcentral
UUAUAAAGAAGAGAUAUAUAAGCCUAAGAGCAACAUAUCCAUUGAUGGGUAAAAUCGUGCAGCACCCACAACACUAUGUAAGGAAGGACAGAGCAUUCAUAUACUGGAUAUAAAGUAACAAUGCACAUUAAAAAAGAAUGAAGUUGGCAAGCGGGAGGUUACAUCAUUUUAUGAUGUUCACAAUCAUGAGCUUAUUCAAAGCCUAUCUAAAACUCAUUUCCUUUGAUUAUAUAGAA